RNAcentral lists this ribosomal RNA (254 nucleotides) under uncultured prokaryote. RNAcentral describes it as "partial 16S ribosomal RNA". It matches the Rfam family "Bacterial small subunit ribosomal RNA", at positions 524 to 776 of the family's 1533-position model. The record is from RNAcentral.
UACGUAGGAGGCGAGCGUUGUCCGGAAUUACUGGGCGUAAAGAGCGCGUAGGCGGCACGGUACGACCGAUGUGAAAGCCCCCGGCUCAACUGGGGAGAGUCAUGGGUAACGGCCGAGCUAUGAGUGCAGGAGAGGGAAGUAGAACUCCGGGAGUAGCGGUGAAAUGCGUAGAGACCCGGAGGAAUACCAGUGGCGAAGGCGGCUUCCUGGUCUGCAACUGACGCUGUGGCGCGAAAGCUAGGGGAGCGAACGGG